GACGAACGCUGGCGGCGUGCUUAACACAUGCAAGUCGAACGAAGAGCGAUGGAAGCUUGCUUCUAUCAAUCUUAGUGGCGAACGGGUGAGUAACGCGUAAUCAACCUGCCCUUCAGAGGGGGACAACAGUUGGAAACGACUUCUAAUACCGCAUACGAUCUGACCUCGGCAUCGAGGAUAGAUGAAAGGUGGCCUCUACAUGUAAGCUAUCACUGAAGGAGGGGAUUGCGUCUGAUUAGCUAGUUGGAGGGGUAACGGCCCACCAAGGCGAUGAUCAGUAGCCGGUCUGAGAGGAUGAACGGCCACAGUGGGACUGAGACACGGCCCAGACUCCUACGGGAGGCAGCAGUGGGGAAUCUUCCGCAAUGGACGAAAGUCUGACGGAGCAACGCCGCGUGAGUGAUGACGGCCUUCGGGUUGUAAAGCUCUGUUAAUCGGGACGAAAGGCCUUUUUGCGAAUAGUGAGAAGGAUUGACGGUACCGGAAUAGAAAGCCACGGCUAACUACGUG
Molecule: ribosomal RNA, 510 nt
Filed under: uncultured bacterium
Lineage: Bacteria
Description: partial 16S ribosomal RNA
Rfam family: Bacterial small subunit ribosomal RNA
Source: RNAcentral